RNAcentral lists this ribosomal RNA (292 nucleotides) under uncultured bacterium. Its description in RNAcentral is "partial 16S ribosomal RNA". The record is from RNAcentral.
GGACUACAAGGGUAUCUAAUCCCGUUCGCUACCCUGGCUUUCGUGUGUGAGCGUCAGGAACGCGCUAAUAGAGUGCCUUCGCCUUUGGUGUUCCCCAUGAUAUCAACGGAUUUCACCCCUCCACCAUGAGUUCCCUCUAUCUCUCGCGCCCUCGAGCUUUGCCGUUUCCCCCGCGCGCUAUAGGUUGAGCCCAUAGAUUUUACGGGAGACUAACAAAGCCGCCUGGACACCCUUUACGCCCAGUGAUUCCGGGUAAUGCUCGGGGCCUCUGUAUUACCGCGGCUGCUGGCAC